RNAcentral lists this ribosomal RNA (1426 nucleotides) under uncultured bacterium. RNAcentral describes it as "bacterial SSU rRNA". It matches the Rfam family "Bacterial small subunit ribosomal RNA". The record is from RNAcentral.
GAUGAACGCUGGCGGCAUGCCUAACACAUGCAAGUCGAACGGAGAACAUGAUUUCGGUUGUGUUCUGAGUGGCGCACGGGUGAGUAACACGUAACUGAUCUGCCCCGGAGAGCGGGAUAACGCACCGAAAGGUGUGCUAAUACCGCAUAAGCUCACGAUGUUUAGAAAGUUGUGAGAAAAGGUUCAGGCGCUCCGGGAUGAGGUUGCGGCCCAUCAGCUAGUUGGUGAGGUAAAAGCUUACCAAGGCGACGACGGGUAGGGGGCCUGAGAGGGUGACCCCCCACACUGGGACUGAGACACGGCCCAGACUCCUACGGGAGGCAGCAGUGAGGAAUAUUGCUCAAUGGGCGAAAGCCUGAAGCAGCGAUGCCGCGUGGGUGAUGAAGGCUUUCGGGUCGUAAAGCCCUUUUCUCGGUGAAGAGGAAGGACGGUAACCGAGGAAUAAGUGUCGGCUAACUACGUGCCAGCAGCCGCGGUAAAACGUAGGACACAAGCGUUAUCCGGAAUUACUGGGCGUAAAGCGCGUGCAGGCGGAUUACCAAGUCAUGUGUGAAAGCUCCUGGCUAAACUGGGAGAGUGCAGAUGAGACUGGUAGUCUGGAGGGCGUCAGAGGAGUGUGGAAUUCCGCGUGUAGUGGUGAAAUGCGUAGAGAUGCGGAGGAACACCAGUGGCGAAGGCGGCACUCUGGGGCGCACCUGACGCUGAGGCGCGAAAGCAUGGGUAGCGAACGGGAUUAGAAACCCCGGUAGUCCAUGCCGUAAACGAUGUACACUAAACGUUCGUGCUGCGAAAGCAGUGUGAGUGUUGAAGCUAACGCGAUAAGUGUACCGCCUGGGGAGUACGGUCGCAAGGCUAAAACUCAAAGGAAUUGACGGGGGCCCGCACAAGCAGCGGAGCGUGUGGUUUAAUUCGAGGCUACGCGAAGAACCUUACCUAGGUUUGACAUUGCAAUGAACAAGGGUGAAAGCCUGAGGUCCCUUCGGGGCAUUGUGACAGGUGCUGCAUGGCUGUCGUCAGCUCGUGUCGUGAGAUGUUCGGUUAAGUCCGAAAACGAGCGCAACCCCUGGUUUCAGUUACAAGUGUCUGAAACGACUGCCCGCGGCAAGCGGGAGGAGGGUGGGGAUGAUGUCAAGUCAGCAUGGCCUUUAUAUCUAGGGCUACACACACGCUACAAUGGCGCGUACAGUGGGUCGCGAAGCCGCGAGGUGGAGCCAAUCCUAAAAAGCGCGUCGUAGUUCGGAUUGUAGGCUGCAACUCGCCUGCAUGAAGCCGGAGUUGCUAGUAACCGCAGGUCAGCACACUGCGGUGAAUACGUUCCCGGGCCUUGUACACACCGCCCGUCACGUCAUGGGAGCUGGUCACGCCUGAAGUCGGGAAGCUAACCGCAAGGAGGCUACCGCCGAAGGCAGGGUUGGUGACUGGGACG